Molecule: ribosomal RNA, 478 nt
Filed under: uncultured Acidovorax sp.
Lineage: Bacteria; Pseudomonadati; Pseudomonadota; Betaproteobacteria; Burkholderiales; Comamonadaceae
Description: bacterial SSU rRNA
Rfam family: Bacterial small subunit ribosomal RNA
Source: RNAcentral
CUUAAAGGAAUUGACGGGACCGCACAAGCGGUGGAUGAUGUGGUUUAAUUCGAUGCAACGCGAAAACCUUACCACCUUUGACAUGUACGGAAUCCUUUAGAGAUAGAGGAGUGCUCGAAAGAGAGCCGUAACACAGGUGCUGCAUGGCUGUCGUCAGCUCGUGUCGUGAGAUGUUGGGUUAAGUCCCGCAACGAGCGCAACCCUUGUCAUUAGUUGCUACAUUCAGUUGGGCACUCUAAUGAGACUGCCGGUGACAAACCGGAGGAAGGUGGGGAUGACGUCAAGUCCUCAUGGCCCUUAUAGGUGGGGCUACACACGUCAUACAAUGGAUGGUACAAAGGGUCGCCAACCCGCGAGGGGGAGCCAAUCCCAUAAAGCCAUUCGUAGUCCGGAUCGCAGUCUGCAACUCGACUGCGUGAAGUCGGAAUCGCUAGUAAUCGUGGAUCAGAAUGUCACGGUGAAUACGUUCCCGGGUCUU